This 394-nucleotide ribosomal RNA is filed under the name uncultured bacterium. Its description in RNAcentral is "bacterial SSU rRNA". It matches the Rfam family "Bacterial small subunit ribosomal RNA", at positions 955 to 1350 of the family's 1533-position model. The record is from RNAcentral.
AGGAACGCGAAGAACCUUACCAGGUCUUGACAUCUUUUGAUCACCUGAGAGAUCAGGUUUCCCCUUCGGGGGCAAAAUGACAGGUGGUGCAUGGUUGUCGUCAGCUCGUGUCGUGAGAUGUUGGGUUAAGUCCCGCAACGAGCGCAACCCUUAUGACUAGUUGCCAGCAUUUAGUUGGGCACUCUAGUAAGACUGCCGGUGACAAACCGGAGGAAGGUGGGGAUGACGUCAAAUCAUCAUGCCCCUUAUGACCUGGGCUACACACGUGCUACAAUGGAUGGUACAACGAGUUGCGAGACCGCGAGGUCAAGCUAAUCUCUUAAAGCCAUUCUCAGUUCGGACUGUAGGCUGCAACUCCCCUACACGAAGUCGGAAUCGCUAGUAAUCGCGGAUC